This 253-nucleotide ribosomal RNA is filed under the name uncultured bacterium. RNAcentral describes it as "partial 16S ribosomal RNA". It matches the Rfam family "Bacterial small subunit ribosomal RNA", at positions 524 to 776 of the family's 1533-position model. The record is from RNAcentral.
UACGGGGGGUGCGAGCGUUGUCCGGAAUCACUGGGCGUAAAGGGCGCGUAGGUGGUUUGAUAAGGGUGUGGUGAAAGUCCGGGGCUCAACCCCGGAUCUGCCGUGCCGACUGUCAAACUCGAGGACUGUAGAGGCAGACGGAAUUCCGGGUGUAGCGGUGGAAUGCGUAGAGAUCCGGAGGAAGACCGGUGGCGAAGGCGGUCUGCUGGGCAGUUCCUGACACUGAGGCACGAAGGCCAGGGGAGCAAACGGG